GCAAACAAAGAAAGGGUAAAGAAAAUACUAAAGCAAAAUAAAAAAUAAAAAAACUAAAAAUUGAAUUGAAGAAGAGGCCUCUCUCUCUCUCUCUGUUUCAUCGUCGCAAAGGAGACCUCUCGCCUUCAAUCGAGCUCCAUCGAUUCGGGAAGCAGCUGUCCUGGCCAUAGAAAAAAUCAAUCGAGAUUCCAUUUCUGAAUCUAGUGUGUCGAUUUGUUUUGAUUUUUUUACUGGAUCUCUGAAAAAACGAAGGAGAUGAGUAGAUGGGAACAUAAGGUCAUCGACGAGAUCGCAACAAGGUCGUAGUGAGAGCUUUGGCCAACAUGCGCCGUCUCGAACUGUCACGCUGGGUCGGGUACAACCUCAGGCGCCUGCUUACCGCACCAUCUACUGCAAUGACCGCGACGCCAAUUUCGCCCAUCGAUACAGGGGGAACUCAAUAUCAACUACAAGUACAACUUUUACCUUUCUACCAAAGGGGCUUUAUGAACAGUUCAGACGGGUUGCUAACUUGUACUUUCUAACGGUAUCUAUUCUAGCAAACUCCAUAUAGUCCUGUGCAUCCUGUAACAAAUGUGGUUCCUCUAAGUCUGGUGCUUUUGGUUUCUCUUAUUAAAGAGGCAUUUGAGGACUGGAAACGUUUCCAGAAUGAU
Hibiscus syriacus is the source of this 653-nucleotide long non-coding RNA. RefSeq lists it as uncharacterized. The record is from RefSeq and is a predicted model, not a curated record. The transcript is spliced from 5 exons. Lineage: Eukaryota; Viridiplantae; Streptophyta; Magnoliopsida; Malvales; Malvaceae.